AGAAUAUAGUUAAUUUUUAAUAUUUGGGUUGCAUCCAAAAGAAGCUCAAGCUUUUCUU
This 58-nucleotide transfer RNA is filed under the name Asiopsocus sonorensis. RNAcentral describes it as "tRNA-Ala". Lineage: Eukaryota; Metazoa; Arthropoda; Insecta; Psocodea; Asiopsocidae. The record is from RNAcentral.